GACGAACGCUGGCGGCGUGCCUAACACAUGCAAGUCGAGCGAUGAAACCCUUCGGGGUGGAUUAGCGGCGGACGGGUGAGUAACACGUGGGUAACCUGCCUCAAAGAGGGGAAUAGCCUCCCGAAAGGGAGAUUAAUACCGCAUAAUAUGUUUUAAUCGCAUGAUUGAAACAUCAAAGGAUUUUCUUCGGAACUUCCACUUUGAGAUGGACCCGCGGCGCAUUAGCUAGUUGGUGAGGUAACGGCCCACCAAGGCAACGAUGCGUAGCCGACCUGAGAGGGUGAUCGGCCACAUUGGAACUGAGACACGGCCCAGACUCCUACGGGAGGCAGCAGUAGGGAAUCUUCCGCAAUGGACGAAAGUCUGACGGAGCAACGCCGCGUGAGCGAAGAAGGCCUUCGGGUCGUAAAGCUCUGUUGUUAGGGAAGAACAAGUACGAGAGUAACUGCUCGUAC
Molecule: ribosomal RNA, 455 nt
Filed under: uncultured bacterium
Lineage: Bacteria
Description: bacterial SSU rRNA
Rfam family: Bacterial small subunit ribosomal RNA
Source: RNAcentral